RNAcentral lists this ribosomal RNA (473 nucleotides) under Myrianida pinnigera. RNAcentral's name for it is "partial 16S ribosomal RNA". It matches the Rfam family "Bacterial large subunit ribosomal RNA", at positions 1824 to 2597 of the family's 2925-position model. Lineage: Eukaryota; Metazoa; Annelida; Polychaeta; Phyllodocida; Syllidae. The record is from RNAcentral.
UGUUUAUUUGAUGACCUAUAAUAAAUAAUUUCUGCCCAGUGAUAUUUCAACSGCCGCGGUAUUUUGACCGUGCAAAGGUAGCAUAAUCACUUGCCUUUUAAUUGGAGGCUAGAAUGAAUGAAUAAACACAAAUAUAACUUUACCCUAUAAUAAUAUAAAAAUUAUCCCUCAAGUGAAGAUACUUGAAUAAAAUAAAAAGACAAAAAGACCCUAUCAAGCUUCAUAUUAUUCCAUAACCGAUAUAGUUUAUAUUUGAUUGGGGCGAUAAUAGAGAAUUAACGUUCUCUCUAUAUAAAUAAGAACAAUAAUUCUACUUACUUAAUAAUUUAAAAAAAGAAAGCUACUGUAGGGAUAACAGGCUAAUAUUAUCUCAGAGUUCAAAUUAAAGAUAAUGAUUGGCACCUCGAUGUUGGCUUAGGUCCCUCCUCCCCGCAAACGGGGAGGUAGGCAGUUUGUUCAACUAUUAAACCCCU